GCUUCAAUACUAAAAAUCGGUUCUAGUGGGAAUCAGCCACUAGACGCAAGGGGGAAAGUCCGGUGCAAAUCCGGCGCUGUCCCGCAACUGUAAUGAAACAUUGGUUUCUAAGUCAGGAUGCCCGCCGAUAUUUGUUGACUGUU
This 143-nucleotide non-coding RNA is filed under the name Oscillatoriales cyanobacterium. RNAcentral also lists the same sequence under 1 other name. The record is from RNAcentral. Lineage: Bacteria; Bacillati; Cyanobacteriota; Cyanophyceae; Oscillatoriales.